AUGAACUGCUUCCCCUUUCCCAGAGGCUGUGACAAUUCUGUCUUUGUUCCCAGUGAAGUAAAUGGUAGAGAAACCGAGGCUGUUCACGUUACACUCGGUCAAGAAGUCCUCUGGAACCCGGGGAAGGCUUGAGGCUCAGCAGCAAUGGAGGCAGCACUUGGCCAACGGAUGAGUCAUUGUCCAACGAGUACACAUUCAGCGCCUGCGACUUCCAGCAACGUGGGAGGACGUCGCAUGGAAGGAAAACUACACAGGCUGCGGCCACGGGACUCCCAUAAACGCUGCCCCUGCCCACGUCACACACCAUUUGCCAGGAAGUGUUAUAGAAACAGCAGUGAACCAGGAGGCAGGAGCCCAGUAGCAGGGGGCUGCCCCUGACUAGCCCCUCCUCUUCCGGGCUCCAUCUCCCCACCUGCACAAUGGAC
This 425-nucleotide long non-coding RNA is filed under the name Equus caballus (horse). RNAcentral's name for it is "lncRNA (ENSECAG00000053018.1)". The record is from RNAcentral. Lineage: Eukaryota; Metazoa; Chordata; Mammalia; Perissodactyla; Equidae.